CAAAUACAUCCCACAAUGCAAUGCAGUAGGGAUGACAACAACAACAUAACAGACAAUGGCCGACAGCGACCAAGGCAGCUCUGGCAUAACGUCAAUAACACUUCAAUUUAACUACUUGACGUACGAUGCAGUUCGUUUGAAGCAGAUUGAAUUCUUUAGGAGGCUUCCUAUCAGAGACCUGCAAACCUCAGAAGCCGAGUGGCAGGGGAGCCGUGGGUUUACAUUUGUGUGUGUGUGUGUGUAUGUGUGUGUACGUACAGUAGUGCGUGUG
Long non-coding RNA from Thunnus maccoyii (southern bluefin tuna), 271 nucleotides. RefSeq lists it as uncharacterized. NCBI's taxonomy places the organism in Eukaryota, Metazoa, Chordata, Actinopteri, Scombriformes, Scombridae. The record is from RefSeq and is a predicted model, not a curated record. The transcript has 3 exons.